GCUAAUGGUUAAGCCCUUGGCUGCUAACCAAAAUAUUGGUGGUUCAAGUCCACC
This 54-nucleotide transfer RNA is filed under the name Loxodonta africana (African savanna elephant). It matches the Rfam family "tRNA", at positions 10 to 63 of the family's 71-position model. From Rfam's summary of the family: Transfer RNA (tRNA) molecules are approximately 80 nucleotides in length. Lineage: Eukaryota; Metazoa; Chordata; Mammalia; Proboscidea; Elephantidae. The record is from Rfam by way of RNAcentral.